UUCAAGAUAUCUCCAAAUACACAUUGUGUGGUAAUUGUUACAAAAUCAAUAUCAUCUGCCGUGACUUAAAAGUUUGUCCUCCGCCUAAAUUCAUGUUGAAACUUUAAACUCCAAAACAAUAGUGUUAAGAGGUGGGGGCCUUUAGGAGGUGGUGAGGUCAUAAAGGCUGUGCCCUCAUCAUUGAGAUGAAUGACUUCAUAAAAGGACUUGAGGGAGUGAGUUCUGCCCUUUCUGCCCCUCUGCUGUCUGUGAACAUAACAUUCAGGAUGUCAUCUUGAAAGCAGAGACCAAGGUCUUCACCAGAGACAGUCUGCCAAUGGCUUGAUUUUGCACUUCCCAGCCUAUAUAACUGUUCUGUUAUUAACAUGGUGUGUCUAAAGUUGUCACUGCUGGUCAUCCGGAAGAAUCUGAGAAGCAGCAAGUCUUUGUUUUCACUCCCAGACCUGUUUUCUUUGCUGAAUAGGGUCAGGAGACCCCCAGGUCAAGCUUCAUCUCAUCUAUAGAUAGGCUGAGUUACCUUUGGUCCAAAAACGGGCUGGUCCUAUCUUUCUCCCAGAAGGAGCUCUGGACUUCUCCAGCCAGGGCUGGACCCUGGGACAAGUCAGGGUGGCUGAGAUUCCCAGCCCUCAGCAGGGAACACAGGCCACCUGGGAGUCCAUGGUGUAGAAGUUCUGCACUGCAACACAGAGGCCCGCAGAGCUGGCAAGCUAAGAGAGCUGCUCCCAGGUCAGCAGAGAAUGGGCCUACUGUGCUUGUGUCUGACUAGGUCUUGAUAAAUGGCCUCAGACUUACCAUAGAGGUCACCAGGCUUUUCAGAACUGGCAGCAGGUGGUCUCCUGGGGACUGAGAUAUGGGCUUCUUGCUGCACCCAGUGCGGACGCUUGGGGAUCCACUAUGGCAGGCAUCACAGGUCUUCUCAGUUUUGCUGCUGUAGGGCCCCCAGCUCAUGAACACAGAACAGUCACCUCUCCCAUGGCUGAGCAUACCCACCAGUAGUGGCCCAGAGUUUCCCCAUGGAGAGGCUCCCAGAGGCAUAUGACAGCCCCUCUGCCAUUGCCACAGUAAUAGUUCUAUCCCUGCUGCCUUUGGUCUGGGGAAGAAACAACCUGAGAGCUACACCCAAGCUUACAGCACACACCACAGCCACCAAUACCGAGAGACUAGUCUUUUCUCCCUGUGAGCCUUCAUCCCAUUGCUCCCCAACAAGCGGAACCCCAAGCUUAUGCCAGCAGUGCAGGUGCCCCACCCAGCAGCUGAACACCCCCAGUAACUAUGGUUCUACAUUUCUUGGAGGUGGAGCCCCCAGGAGCAAACAAAAGCCUUGCUACCACUGUCUGCAGUGGAACUGCCCUUGCUAUCCUCAGACAAAUGAAUGAACAAAUACCAUAAGUGCCUUAUCCACACCUACAACAAACUGCAGCUGACCCAAGGAGAGGAGACCAGUUCAUCUCCCACAGGUUCCACCCACUCCCCCUGCUUGUCACCAGAUAGGAAACCCUGGGCUUUGUCCCACAGCACAGACCCUCCGUUCUGGGCUGAUUGCACUUAGCAAUUGCUAACCGGCUCCUCUUGGGUGGAGCCCCCAGGAGACAAGCAAAAGACCUUUGGCCGCAACCACUAUUAAGGUCCCUUCCUCUGCUGCCUCCAAGCCAGGGGAGGAACAUAAGCCCUGAGAGUGCCCCAGAGCUGUGGUGGGCAGCCCAAGAGUGCCAAGCCACAGUUUAUAGCCAGCAUUCAAGUGGGAGAGAAGCCCACACUUUCAGAACAUUGAGAGGGAGCAUGACUGCAACUGUCAGAAAAUAUAGGGGAGCCACAUGACCAAGCAAGAGCCUACCAACUAACCAGUAUGCCUAAGCACCACCUACUGGAUCACAUCCCGAAGUUCCAACACCAAAAACACCUUGCUAGCAUUCCCCUCUGUGAGACCAAAGACAAGUCAGCUACAAAUGAAGACCCUGCACAAAGCCUUGGCUCUGCGAAGACAUCCAGAAAAAAAAGUGUACUGACUGUACUCAAUUUACACUGCAGUUACAGGAACACCCACGUGCAGACAUGAGAAAGAACCAAUGAAAGAACUCCAGUAACUCAAAUGGCCAGAGUGUUGUAUGUCCUCCAGAUGACCACACCAGUUUUUCCACAAGGGUUCUUACUCAGGCUGAGCUGGCUGGAAUGACAGAAAUGGAAUUUAGAAUAUGGAUAGGAAUUAAGAUCAUCAAGAUUCAGGAGAAUGCAAAACCCAAUCCAAAAAAACUAAGAAUCACUAGAGCUGAAAGACAAGAUAACUGAUUAAAAAAGAGCCUGAUGAUUCUGACAGAGCAGAAAAACACACUACAAGAAUUUCAUAAUGCAGUCACAAGUAUUAACAGCAGAAUAGACCAAGUGGAGGAAAGACUCUCAGAACAUGAAGACUGGCUCUCUGAAAUAAGACAGUUAGAAAAAUGAAAAAGAAUCAAAAAUAACAAAACUUCUGAGCAAUAUGGUAUUUUGUAAAGUGGCCAAAUCUAUGAAUUAUUGGCAUCCCUGAAAGGGAUGGGAAGAAAGCAAACAAGUUGGAAAACAUUUUAGGAUAUCAUCCACGAAAACUUCCCCAACCUUGGUAGAGAGGCCAACAGUCACAUUCAGGGAAACCAGAGAACCCCUGUAAGAUUCUACACAAUAAAAUCAUCCCCAAGACACAUAAUAAUCAGAUUUUCCAUGGUCAAAAUAAAAGAAAGACUGUUAAAGGCAGCUAUACAGGGCAGGUCACCUACAAAGGUCACCCCAUCAGGCUAACAGCAGACCUCUCAGCUGAAACCCUAUAAGCCAGAAAAGACUGAGGGCCUAUAUUCAACAUUCUUAAAGAAAAAAAAUCUUCAACCAAGAAUUUCAUACCCAGCCAAACUAAGCUUCCUAAGUGAAAGGGAAAUAAGACCCUUUUCAGACAAGCAAAUGCUGAGGGAGUUCAUUACCACCAGACCUGCCUUAUGAGAGAUCUUGAAAGGAGCACUAAAUAUAGAAAGAAAAGUCUGCUACCAGCCAAUACAAAAACACACUUAAAUACACAGAUCAGUGACACUAUAAAGCAACCACACAAACAAGCCAGCAUAAUAACCAGCUACCAACAUGACAGGAUCAAAUCCACACAUAUUAAUACUAAUCUUGAAUGUAAACAGGCUAAAUGCCCCACUUAAAAGGCGCACAAUGGCAAGCUCCAUAAGAAGGCAAGACCUGAUGGUAUGUUGCCUUCAAGAGACCCAUGCAGUGACCUAGGAUCAAAAUAAAGAGAUGGAGAAAAAUC
This 3277-nucleotide long non-coding RNA is filed under the name Pan troglodytes (chimpanzee). Its description in RNAcentral is "long non-coding RNA NONPTRT001542". The record is from RNAcentral. Lineage: Eukaryota; Metazoa; Chordata; Mammalia; Primates; Hominidae.